GGUACCGUCAAUCGAGCACUCUAUUCGAGUACCCGGGUUUCUUCCCCUCUGACAGUGGUUUACACCCCGAAAGGCUUCCUCCCACACGCGGCGUCGCUGCGUCAGGCUUUCGCCCAUUGCGCAAUAUUCCCCA
RNAcentral lists this ribosomal RNA (133 nucleotides) under uncultured bacterium. Its description in RNAcentral is "partial 16S ribosomal RNA". The record is from RNAcentral.